RNAcentral lists this ribosomal RNA (639 nucleotides) under Chaetothyriales sp. MG24. Its description in RNAcentral is "LSU rRNA". It matches the Rfam family "Eukaryotic large subunit ribosomal RNA", at positions 38 to 689 of the family's 3401-position model. The record is from RNAcentral. Lineage: Eukaryota; Fungi; Ascomycota; Eurotiomycetes; Chaetothyriales.
GCAUAUCAAUAAGCGGAGGAAAAGAAACCAACAGGGAUUGCCUUAGUAACGGCGAGUGAAGCGGCAACAGCUCAAAUUUGAAAUCUGGUUCCUUUAGGGGCCCGAGUUGUAAUUUGUAGAGGAUGUUUCGGGUACGGUCCGGGCUUAAAUUUCUUGGAACAGAAUGUCAGAGAGGGUGAGAAUCCCGUCUGGAGUCUGCGACACGGCCUAUGUGAAACUCCUUCGACGAGUCGAGUUGUUUGGGAAUGCAGCUCUAAAUGGGUGGUAAAUUUCAUCUAAAGCUAAAUAUUGGCCAGAGACCGAUAGCGCACAAGUAGAGUGAUCGAAAGAUGAAAAGCACUUUGAAAAGAGAGUUAAACAGUAUGUGAAAUUGUUGAAAGGGAAGCGCUGGCAACCAGACUUGACCGUCGCGGCUCCCCCUCGCUUCUGCUUGGGUUACUCCGCGGCGAGCAGGCCAACAUCGGUUUCGGGGGUUGGUUAAAGGCUCGGGGAAUGUACCUACUCUUCGGGGUAGACUUAUAGCCCCGGGUGUCAUGCAACCUCCCGGGACCGAGGAACGCGCUUCGGCUCGGAUGUUGGCGUAAUGGUUGUCAGCGACCCGUCUUGAAACACGGACCAAGGAGUCUAACAUCUAUGCGA